This is a long non-coding RNA of Gallus gallus (chicken), 10224 nucleotides long. RefSeq lists it as uncharacterized. Lineage: Eukaryota; Metazoa; Chordata; Aves; Galliformes; Phasianidae. The transcript is spliced from 3 exons. The record is from RefSeq and is a predicted model, not a curated record.
ACACCCAUAGUGGGCUUUGCAAACUCUGAAGAUGUUCCCUGCAGCUCCAGUGCAGGAUGAUCUCUACUGGAAGACAUCAAUAUCAGACAACCAUCUGCAUGAUACUUGAAUAUAUGCAGCAGCUGUUCUUCUUUCAAAGAAGCUGAAAAGUCACUAGAAGACUGAAAUGUUCUUUGUUGUUCCAGUAAUUCUGUGACAUGCUUUGGAAAUAAGUUCUACUUAUGUUCAUGCAACUUGGUAUUCUCAUAACAAAACUUCACUAAUUCUAAAUAUCAUUACAAUUUCUUCACUACUGUAAUUUCAAUAUCCAUGUAGUUAGUGUCAUAGUUAAGAUGGACUAGAAAAUAUUUAUUCUGGGUGCCUGAUAUGCCUGAAUUCCCUCUAGUAGUUAUUUCAUUGACAUUAAUAAGUUUUGGAUCAGGAUUUUUGGGUCAUGAAUUGGUUAUUUUUAAGAAAAACACAUAGGUAUCUGGAUUGAUUUGUUAGUAAUGUCCACACUUUGGAAAUAUAUUUAUGGGGCAAUGAGGUGCAGGAAUGGAGAAUACACUCCUGAGUUUAUGUGAAAAAAUUAGUUCUCAAACAACACAGUCCCAAGGUUACUUGUGCCAUUAUCAUUGCCAUAAUCAGUAAAACUGGAAUUCAGCAAGACAGAGGUAGGAUGCAGCUGUGCACAAAGGAGGGCAGGCAGUAUACCCUGGGCAGCAGUAGCUCUUCAGCUCUUCUGACAGGUUUUAAAAAGUGUUAAAAAAAAAAAAAGAAAGAAAGACAAAAAAAAAAAAAAAAUCAACCUCCUUUGGAUUAAAAGACCCAACAAACUCAGCUUAAAUUUUAAUUCUGUGCUUCAUCUUCAGCACACUGAAAUGCAGUUAACAGUAGCAAGUGUUCAUACUAGAUAAGGGAAUUGUUGCUACUCAUAUAAUUAUGCUGUUUCUACAGCUAAGCCUGGCAGUGAGACAGAGCAAGACAUAGCAUCACACUAUUAGGACAGUUAGUGCUUUUGACAAGAAUCCAUUUUGCAGUGAUCAGAGAUGCAGUUUCUAUUACUACUUCUCUGCAAGCUGAAACAUCAAUGAAACAAACAUUUUCCAGAAGAUGAGUUGCCUUAAACCCUUUUUUUUUUUUUUUUUUUUGCAAUGCUGAUGUUUUUAAUGUGUUUUUAUAAAACUCCAACAAAGAAGACAAGUGUGAAGAUCUAGAAGAAGGGAAUAUAAAUAAUAUCUUUAAUCUGCUUGUUAUGGGAAUUGAACUUUGUCAGUACUGUAGAUGCAUAUUUUUUAAUGAUGCAGAUAACUCCUUUCCUAAACACAUUCAUCAGUUUGGGGAUUUUUUUUUUCCUUACCUAGCAUAGCAUCUUCAGAAAUCCCCUUAUUUAGACUAACAUUCAGAAUUUGUGCAUAGCAUGUCAUCUGAGGUACUCAAGAAAGUAUUUUUCACAGACCUCCCCUCAAAAAACCCACGAUAAUGGACUCAUACAUGCCAUCUGCUGACCCUUUCUAAACCUGUUACAGGCAAGUCACUUACCCUCUCCAGUGUUUGCCUGGGUGAGAUGAAGUACUCCCAGUAUUUGCUCAGGUGCUCCUACAAGGCAGGAUCGCCCCAGCUGGACAUCAGCUCCUUGGAUACCCAAGUGUAAUAGAGACAUUCUAAAAAUGUCUUUGCCUGAGUUUCUUUCUCUUUGAAGCAAAUUUUAGAACAACGCCAGCAUAACUAUUUUUUUGUGUUAAUAGACAAUGAGUUUGAAAAAUAAAGGUUAAUAUUUAUGUGUUCUCUCAUGAAAAAUAUUUUACUUUUACUUUACUAGUGUGAUUCAGUGCCAUCCACACAUGCAUCUGUGUGGGUAAACAGUAUUUUGGUAUAUGGAACAUGCAACACUUGGUGCCAGUGAUUUAUAAAAUCCUAUCACUAAAAAAAAAAUGUUGAAAAAAGCAUGCUGACAUAAUGGACAACUGCAUUUUCAGGCAGAAGUUCCUUAAAUCAUCAUUACUGGCUGCACUCUAUUUAUGACCUUCCAAUUACUUUAAUAUAUGGCAGUUAAAUACUAUUUCAAAUAUUUGCAGCUGCAAUUAGAAACUUAUUUGUGAAUAUGCACAAAAGGGCAUUUCUAUAUAUAAAUAUGCAUAUCUCUAGUUGUACAAAGUUAGAUGUAGGUGUUGGUUUGUCUGUGUGUAAGGCAAGUAAGCCAGCAAUAUUUGAAUACUGUACAGCAGCAAUAGAACCUUUUUCAUUAUCAAGGUAUGUGUAUACAAACACACUAGUAUAAUAUCCCUUCUAUUUGUAUAUCAGCAGGAGUAAGCAGCUGAGUCAUGUAUAACAGCAUGCAAGUUGAAUGCAUACUCCACAUUUCAUACACACCCAACCAACACUCUUCAGAAAAAGGUGGAAUCCUGCCUGGUAUUCUGUUCUUAGGAAAUCAUGAAGAGGCUGAAGUGAUAAUUUAAUAGAAGCACUAUGCAGUGAAGGAAAAUACAUCCUGGUAAAACAAACAGGCUCCUUCAUCUUCCUACUCAAAACAACUGCCUUGUCCUAGGAGCUGCUGAAAUGAGAGCAAGGGCAUGUUCUCUUAGCCUUUACACAAAUAUUCCAAUCUGAUAAACCACUUACUCUUGCUCAUCUCUGGCUCAUUGGAAAUGAUAUCAAAAUAAUGGGACACAGGAAGGUCUCAAUUCAGCCAACAUCUGGAAGAGACAAAGUAGUAAAAUAUCUGUGUAGUCUCCACUGCGUUCUGUCACUGAAACACCUUUCCUUUGGAUCUGUUUUAUGGACCGUUUGAAGGAGGUAGGAACUGAUGAAGUUACCGAUACUAAGCAAGAAGAAAAUAAAAUAGACCAACAAGCACGCAAGAGUAAUUCUAUGUAAUGAAAACAUGGCAGUACUCAAAGCAACGGAAGGCGAUCCGACUCAUGUUUCUAGAAACUUAAGACAUGACUUCAUCUCAGAACUCUGGCUCUCAGCCUCCCAGUCUGCAGAAAUUCAAAGCAUAAAUGAUGGCUGAUCCAGUUUAAAUGUACUAGUAGAAAAUGUACUAGUAAUUAGGCAAAGGAAAAAAAAAAGACCUUUUAAAAUUAUUCUCUUAAAAUGAUAGCAUAUAAGAAAUAAACAAUUGAUAAAUUAUACAACAUACACUGAAGAGACAGAGGGGAAAGAAUGUCUAAUCUCUUCCCCUCAAUCUUACUUAUACAUUAUUACAACAAUAAAAUUCUUACAUUUUGGGUUUUCUUAUUCUAUUUAGGUUAUGUCUGAAAUGGAAAAAUAGCACACAUUGAACUUACAUUGGUUUCUGAGAAUGAAUAUAUUAAAUGCUUUUAAAAACUGGUUUGAUAGUUACAUGAAAGUUUUAAGGCACUAAGCCAUUAAUGUUAAGACUAUUUAGACCAAAUUUGGAAAAAUAUCCCUGUAACACAUUUUUGGGAAUCAUAAUUAAGAAAAAAGAAACUGAUAGAGAAGACAUUAUUCUUCAUAGAGGAAUGGGAGAAGUAAUGUAAAAUAUUUUUUCCCGUUACUUACAUAAAUCAUUUGGUGCAAUUAUAACAGUGUUCAAGAUUAAUAUUAGAAUGUUAAAAUGAUAACAUUUAAAAUAAUUACUUUUGUUCCUUUAAUCUCCUAGCUUCAUUGUUCUUUCAUCCCCUGCUUAAAUCUAAGUGUCUGCAUUUGGAAACUUUUAAAAGUACUUCAGCAGAAAUGCUCAUGGAGAUGUAUUAUCGCACUUCCAUUUCUGUCCCGAGGCUAUCAUGUUUGACAGUGACAGAAAAUAGUUUCAAGGACAAUAUAAUGACAGAGUUGGAAUAAAUUAAAGGAAAGUAUAAACUAGUUAGUGGCAGAUAUAAUUUGCUCUUGUUUUCAAACCAGUGUGGAAUAAAUAUUUUAGAAUGUAAAAAUUGCCUUUAAAACACAAGUAGGCUUUUAAAAAUCUGCUACAAUUUAAGUCACCAGUAGCCGCGUGUUGAAGGAACAUUUUUAACAUUAUUCAAUCACUAGUUUCUCUCUAGACAAUAAAAUUUGAGUGGAAUAUCACUUAUACUCUGGAAGUAUUUAAUCAUACAGCAUCUUGUUAAACAAGUGUAAACAUGAAGGAUUUGUUAAAAUAUUUGUUGUUUUCGCAGGGUCAAAAUACAGCAACUGAUCCCCAGGUGUCUGCCUCUACAGAGGUUAAAUCUGUUUUUGUGUGCCAUGGUAAAGAUGAGCGCAGCAGAUUUCUGCCUAAAUCAUUUUUCACAACCUUUCUCUCUCCCUGCUAUAUCACAUGCCACGUCCUUCUGCCAGAGCCAUACUGGGAGGCAGCUAUGCCAGGAGGCAUGGUGCUGACUAGAGAGAAGAUGCUGAGUAACAGGUGCGCCUUGGUGAGGGAGGAGCCAGCACUGCACCCAUCAUGGUGCUCCCUGAGGCAAGCUCAGCUUAAAACACCAGGGCUGGUUAUCAACCUGUGCAUUUCUGCUGAAGGAUAUGGUGAUGGCUGUGCCUGCUUUCAUGGGCAAGGACUUCUUUCAGUUAGAAGUUUCAAUAUUGGGCACAUAAUCCUUUUGGAAAUUUGGUUUGUGAUCCAAUAUGUGUAACAACACACAGAAAUAGCAUUCUGCUUCAUGGAUGGUAGCAUGUGAAACAGGAGUUGUUUGAACAAAACUAAAGGAAACAUCAAGUUCAGGAGUGUGCACAGGAUCUCAGCACACCAGUCCUGGCUUGGGACCAGGCUUAUGGGAUUGAGUAGGUCCCUUCAUAACCCUGCAAGUGAGGAAGCAAAGCUAAGAAAAUAUACUCAAAGUUAAUGUGAUGUGUACCUGCAACCAGUGUAUAAUAAUUAGGUCUGGAUUCACUAAUACCAAGGAAAGAUGUUCUUAACUUCAGACCCAAAUGUUGGCUUUUAUAAUUUUAGUUCUUUAAAGCAUUACUCUUAGAUGUGUGAGCUUCUGUUGUGUUGCGGCUGCAGCAAAAUAAAAGUGGUGUCUGCUUCUUAAUGCAUUCUACAUGCAGAGGAAAUAUUUAAACCCCCUCAGGCCAAAGUCAUUUGGUGCAGAAAUAUUAAAAAUGAAUCAAGAACUUUACAAACUCAAAUAAACAACAGCUACUGAAAGGCUUUCAGCCAUCUCAGAAGCAGCAACACAAAUGUUGAUUUCUCUCCUCUCUGUUUUUACCUAACACUGGUGUUGAAGUCCCAACACCUACUUUCUGAAACUCACUCCAAAUCCUUUAUUGCUUCUAGCUGGAAUGAUUGAGUUGAUUUAGCUCAGGGUGUUACCAUCCUUUAGUUCUUUUGAAAGUCUUAACCUCAAUUAAUGUUUUGUAUAAUAAUAGCAAACGUGACUAUUUCAUUAAAACAAAUAUACAUAUUUACAACAUAAUUUACCAAAAUUGAUUAUGUCAGAUUGUAAGUUUACACACUUUAAAAAAAACCUGAUAUUAAAUGCUGAUUUAAUACUCAGUUGUUUCUUUCUAUGCAUAUCAAAUGGAGUACCCACAUUGUGAAUUACUGACUGCUUUUAAAAUAUAAACUUGUAGGUCUUUCAACUCACUGAUUAACAUACACAAAGGUAACAGCAGGCAGUUUUUUUAGACUGGCUAUGCUUGCAAUGCCUUAAUUAAAUCAUUCUGAAGAUGUUCUGAAGCAAAAAGAUAAUAAAACAGAGCAAACUCAGAACCCGGAAGAGUGCUUUAGAAACAGAUGUAUUAGGUUUUUGUUUUUUUAAUAUACAUUUCAAUUUAUUCUACUUUCAAUAAAAUUUGAAAUAGAAAGGACAUAAAAAAAAGAAUCCUAAACUUCCAUUAUGUACGUUUUUUUGUUUUUUUUUUUUUUGAGGGGGGUAUAACAUAGUAGAACUUUUAACUACUGUAGAAGUGCUGUGUUUGUAAUAAUUACAUAAAUGAAUUCUGCUUUAUUUCAAUACAGUACUCCCACAAUGCUUUGCUGCUUCCUGUGGUGUCAUACCCUUUUUAUUUUUCUUAAAACUUCCCCAGUAAUUGCUUACUAAAAGGCUUUUAAGUAAUUUAUUCAAGUCUUUUUUUUAAUUAAUCAUCUGUAAAACUGAACAUUCUCUAGAUAUUGUGAGAUGAGGAUUCACCUCAUUUUGCAUAAAUUGCUUUUUUUCUUUCUUUUUGUUAUUAUUACAAGGCUUAUAAGACCAGGUCCUUGUUAAUAUGGGUCACAAUGAAAUUGAGUUUUUUCAGGUCACACUACAAAUUAACACUUGCCCAAAGAUAUUUCUUUGCUUAUUUCCUUUUAUUCCUGAGCAGUCCUCCUCACUCAGCAAUAAUGUUGUUAAAUUUGCAUCCAGAUUAAAUUAACCUAGGUUUGGAGAGAGAAAGCAUUUCUAAUAUGCUUCCUUCUUGCAGUUUAACAUGGGCCAUAACUUUGACCUUUUAAUAUAUUUUUGACUGACUGGACAACAGUGGAGAAAUAAGAGGAAGCUUCCAUCCAUCCAUCCACUCAAUGGUAUGUGACAUUUUCAUGUCCACCACCUUCAGGCUUUUUUCAUAUUAAAGUCCUCCUGUAAUUUUGUUUAUGAACAUCAUAGAAGUUGAGCUGAAGCUGCUGGCAGGUGUCAUCAGUGUGUCCAGUCAGGGGACUUCUUGGUGCAGAAUGGUAGAGGGAUUCAAGUGCCUGGCAUUUCCUGCCUAAACGUCAAGGUAUCUCUCUCUGGAAUGUUUUGCACCAUCAGAAGAAAAAAUAAAAAACCUAAAGAGGAGUACAGUCAUUCCUCUAUGUGCAACUGCAUACAAAAGCUUACUUCCUAACCAGGUUUUCUCUCUGUGUUCAAACAAAAGGAGCUGCAACAUUUGUAAAAACCCCAACCUUUUGUUUUUACAGAAUUAUUACUCUGUUUUCUGAUCACUAUCCCAGUUUAAACAACUAAUCCUCAAUUCUAGAGCAAUUCAAUAACCAUUACAGUUCACUAGUACUUAAAACAUAGUGAAUGUUUUCUCCAAUUUCCCAGUUCUUUACAAAAGAAUAUAUUAAAAAAGAAAACAUAUAAAUUCCUAAUUUUAAUAUGCAUAACACUAUUUUUCUCCCCACCUCUCACUUUUCUCAGUACAUGGGUAAGCUCUCAUCUCUUUCUGGACCAAUAUGUAUUACAAGAAGAAAGUACAGUAAAGUGAGAAAAAAAAUUGUUGCUCAAAUAAGCAAGAUAUGUAUAUUCAUAUGUUCACAAAGAAAUUCAACAAUGUUUCAGAAUGAGAGAGUCCUGGAGAUUUUCCAGUUUUCUUUUGGCACCAUCAGUGAGGGAUAUUUCAAACUGCUGUUUCCUUAUCGCAGAAGCAGAGUCACUAUUAAGCAGCACAUAGGAAAAUAACUGAGACAAGGGAUUUGUUUCCUUCCCUAUAUUACAAUCAGAUCAUAGGAAUGUGAGCAAUUGUAACAUCUAGUGAUGAUGUAAGGCAACUUUCCAGGAAAUAAAUCAAACAUGCAUUUUACUACAUUUUUAACUUACCUAGUAUUGAAAAAAUGGGUUCUGUUGACUGAAAUCAACAUAUGAAAUAUAGCUCGUUAGUAACUAUAUCAACUUCCUGAUCAACACUACUUAGUGUUGACAAAAUAAUAAUAAACAAUGCAAAACAUAGAGAAAGGCACUCUAUAAUGUUGCAAGGAAGCCUUCUCUAUUUAGACAAAGUGAUUUAAAAAAAAAUUAACAAGGAAAAAACAAAAUAAAAAGACAGACAACUCUCUCUAUAUAUCCUUUCACUCACACAACACAAGUGUGAAAAGGAUAUCUAAGCACCAUUUGCCACAUGUUACAAAGGGCAACUUUAAAAAAAGUUAUUUUUUUUCUGUCACAUUCAGGAAUUCUACAAGUAUGAGAGAAAAAGCUGAGGUUGAACAAUGGUACACAACAGAUGGAAUGCAUUUAAUUUCAUAUUUCUGAUAGGAACGUUAGUUUUCUUAAAUUGUUUCCCUAAUGAAGUUCCUUACAAAUACCAAUAGAUAUACCUUAAUUCCCACAAGACAGGGAACAUAUAUAGGUUUCAAGAUGAACUAUCAAAAGUAUCAGUUUAACAGUCCAAAAGGAUUAAUACCAGCUUCAGUCCACCAGCACCCUCAGAGAAAGGCACCCUUUUACUUCAACUGCAUAUAGGGCUUUUUUCAUUGCUCCUAUCAAUCACAUCCUAAGUAUUAGCCUCUUCAUAGGACACAAGAAGAGAAAUGCAAAACACAGUGGUCAGCUACGAGAACAUACCCUUCUGUCACCUGCCCUCUAUCAUCAGGAAACUUUCAUCAGAAGAAGGGAGAAAUCAAAGACAAAGAUGUAUGCCUUCUUAUGGAUAACCUUGAAGAACUUUGAGAAGUUGUUUUCCUUUGUUGCUGCUACUUACUCAGCUAAGCUGUUUUAAAGCCCUCAUCAAGAAUCUGAGUCUCUUUCUGUAUGUCAUCAGGCUCCUUCUUAACAACCAUCCAUGAAUACAACUCAGCCGUGGAAGUUGAAACCUCCAGCUAAAGGAUAACAGGGAACAGCUGGUGGGUAUUAACUGCUAAAAUUGCUAUAUCUACCUUGGAAACCUCAGGUAUUUUAUUUUAUUUUUUUUCUUUUUGCAUUUUCCUGCCUUUAGCUGUCAUGUAACUUCUAUUCUUACUAUGUAUGAGACAGUUGUUCUCCAGAGAAUAUAACAUUAUUUCUGUGUAUUUUUUGCUUGUUCUCAAUGCAUAGUCCCUCCUGGUCUGUGAGCAGAACUGAGAUCAGAAGCAAGCACCAUGCAAUGGUGAACUAAAGAAAGAGCUAUAAUGCAGACUCCCAAGAGGAAAAAAAUGGAGCUUCAUUUGGCUGCAGUAAUCCCUGGGUUCCUAUGUUAGAUACAUUUUAGAAGAAAGACCUGACAUUUCUCUGUGUACCCUGCCUUUUUUUGGCAGAGAGCUUGGACUUGUAGGCAGGAAGGAUACCAUAGUUGUUCCCCCUUUGGGUGGGUAUGUUCUGCACUGCAUUGGAGUGCACAGCACCCUCUCUGGGUCACCACAGCUGAGGUGCGCACAUACUACUUCCCCAAGUGGACUUACUGUCAUGAUUCUCCUCAACCUAAAAUCAUGCGCUACUUUCUGGAGGCCCCACUGCUGAAAAGGAAGCAACCACUUCACCAGGGAAACAAAUGACUGAGCUACAAAUACAGUACUUAAAAAUACUGAGUUUAGUUUGUGCUUGUUGUCCUUCCACUCCUGUACCAUGCAUUUUCCCUCAGCAAACCCUUGCUUCAUUUAGCAGCAGUUCUCCCAUUGGCUUUACUACUCCUGUGCUUUACAAACCACCCUUUUCACUCCCCCCUGCCUAUCAAUUCCUGGAAUUUAUUCCCUGUAAAAGUUUGUUUGUGUACUCUCCCAAAAUUCAUAUCUGUUAAGGAUGAUUCUUCACAAUCUAUAGUGAAUAAUAGGAGGAGAAAUGCCCUGCAAGCUGAUACCCAUUCUAUUUAUGCUUUCAUAUAAUUCGAUCACAAACCUUUUGUUCCUUGAAACUUGAAAAAUCCACAUUAAUAACACAUUUGUGGGGUUGAAGAAGUACAUCUGAAAGUGCUAAUUCACUUUUAUUUACACACACUACUGGAGAAGCAAAAGGCUGAAGGCAAUAGAAUGAGACAGACAGAAAAUUUGUUUGCAGCUGAGUCUGCCCUUGUCUUUUUGAAAAGCUAAAAUUAUUAUUACUUCCCUACACAGUAACCCUAUGGAUUUGUUUCUGUCUUGAGUUGUGAGCCAUCUAUUUACAGCUUUUCCAGAGUUUUGUCAUUUGCCCUGCUUGCAGAGUUUGACUGCAAAAGCUGGAACAUGCUUCCUCUGUGGAGCAAUUGCAAGAGUUGCUUAAUAUUAUGAGCAUGAUCUUGCAACACAUCUGGCAGCACACUACACUACAUAAGAUUGUUACCCUUUUGUUCAGGGGAGGCCCUGAAGAAAUCAUCAUAAAAAUACUGAAAGAAUAUCUACUGGUGGAAUUUGGAAAAAAAUCCUCUACUCUAAGUGGAACAACUGAGAAAUUUGCUGAAUGGAUGCAAAGGUCUUCAUGCACUGAGUGAUUCCAGCAUUCCAGAGAGGCAUUAAGAAAAACAUCAAAUAUCAUGAGACUGAAGAUAACGUUGUGGGUGUGGCAAAAGUGAGCUAUGGAGGAGUUGGAAUGACUCAUGCAUCUUGGUGUCUUGUUCUCUGUUGGUGGUGUACUUACUCGUGCAGAGUUUAUCUUAUGUAUUCUUUGUUGCUUUCAUUCAUUUUAACCUGCAGGCUGUAAACACAUUUAUUAUGAAAAGAAUAAAAUUACAGAAACUCUG